Molecule: long non-coding RNA, 640 nt
Filed under: Volvox carteri
Lineage: Eukaryota; Viridiplantae; Chlorophyta; Chlorophyceae; Chlamydomonadales; Volvocaceae
Description: long non-coding RNA (VCAR_LNC001096)
Source: RNAcentral
GCAUGGCGUGGGUUGCCAAGGCCUUGCAUAGUGCAUAGGUUUGCAAGAUUAGAAAAAAACCUGACGUUUUUAUUCUAUCUACACGCGCUCAGGAAAAUUGCAGCUUCAUAGUGCCCCACAUCAAGGUUGGAGGGAGGAGUUAAGAACGGCCCUGGCUGAAGCUGUACCAUAUUACCCUCACCUGUCCCCCAUUAACAUCAAUAGAUCAGGGUAGCAGACGGAUUCAAAUCAGGCGAUCAAGGCACGCGGACCAAGGACGGCGGGGCGCAGGCGAGGGGCGGGGAUUUUCCCCCAAGCGUAGUCGUGGCAGUUCGUAUUAACAUGGACUAAAACCUCAUCGGUGACACAUGGAUGCUGUUUUACAACCAUCUUCAUCGAUGAGAUAUGGCAGACGACGGUGCGUGAAAGGGAUUCGCCCCCGUUACGAUAGUCCGGUUCUACCUUUGGGUGUACUCGCAAAGACUAUGGCUUGGGGCACAAAGAUAGACGCUUCUUUCACCAAGCUGACGGCCAGAGCUACUACGACUCCGAGAGGCAAAGUUUGCAAAUAAAUGAGAAUAGUCAGGAUUUAUAUAAUUCCUAGAACUGCAAAACAUGCAAAGCUUCGCCGCAUGUUCGUACUGUUAAAAAUUAAUCCUAC